CGUGGCCGUAGACCCGAAACCAGGUGAUCUACCCAUGUCCAGGGUGAAGUUCAGGUAACACUGAAUGGAGGCCCGAACCCACGCACGUUGAAAAGUGCGGGGAUGAGGUGUGGGUAGGGGUGAAAUGCCAAUCGAACCUGGAGAUAGCUGGUUCUCUCCGAAAUAGCUUUAGGGCUAGCCUCAAGGUAAGAGUCUUGGAGGUAGAGCACUGAUUGGACUAGGGGCCCCUACCGGGUUACCGAAUUCAGUCAAACUCCGAAUGCCAAUGACUUAUCCUUGGGAGUCAGACUGCGAGUGAUAAGAUCCGUAGUCGAAAGGGAAA
Molecule: ribosomal RNA, 322 nt
Filed under: Enterococcus faecalis
Lineage: Bacteria; Bacillati; Bacillota; Bacilli; Lactobacillales; Enterococcaceae
Description: partial 23S ribosomal RNA
Rfam family: Bacterial large subunit ribosomal RNA
Source: RNAcentral